Molecule: ribosomal RNA, 397 nt
Filed under: uncultured bacterium
Lineage: Bacteria
Description: partial 16S ribosomal RNA
Rfam family: Bacterial small subunit ribosomal RNA
Source: RNAcentral
AAUAUUGCGAAAUGGGGGGAACCCUGGCGCAGCAACGCCGCGUGAGCGACGAAGGCCUUCGGGUCGUAACGCUCUGUCUUAAGGGAUGAUAAUGACAGUACCUUAAGAGGAAGCCCCGGCUCCCUACGUGCCUGCAGCCUCGGUAAUACGUAGGGGGCAAGCGUUGUCCGGACUUACUGGGUGUAAAGGGCGCGUCAGCGGUUAUCUAAGCCAGCUGUGAAAGUCCAGGGCUUAACCCUGGAAUUGCAAUUGAAACUAAAUAACUUGAGUUAAGGAGAGGAGAGCGGAAUUCCUAGUGUAGCGGUGAAAUGCGUAGAGAUUAGGAGGAACACCAGUGGCGAAGGCGACUUUCUGGACUGUAACUGACGCUGAGGUACGAAAGCGUGGGUAGCGAACA